This 637-nucleotide ribosomal RNA is filed under the name uncultured bacterium. RNAcentral's name for it is "bacterial SSU rRNA". It matches the Rfam family "Bacterial small subunit ribosomal RNA", at positions 60 to 695 of the family's 1533-position model. The record is from RNAcentral.
AGUCGACGAGGUGCUUUGCACCUAGUGGCGAACGGGUGAGUAACACGUAAAAACCUACCUUUUAGUGGGGGAUAACAGUUGGAAACGACUGCUAAUACCGCAUACGACACCAUUAUGGCAUCAGAAGGUGUUAAAAGGCCCGUUUGGGUCGCUAGAAGAUGGGGAUGCGGCGUAUUAGCUAGUAGGUGGGGUAAUUGCCCACCUAGGCAAUGAUACGUAGCCGAACUGAGAGGUUGAUCGGCCACAUUGGGACUGAGAUACGGCCCAGACUCCUACGGGAGGCAGCAGUAGGGAAUUUUUCACAAUGGACGAAAGUCUGAUGAAGCAAUGCCGCGUGAGUGAUGACGGUCUUCGGAUUGUAAAGCUCUGUUGUAAGGGAAGAAUAGGUAAAAGAGGAAAUGCUUUUAUUUUGACGGUACCUUACCAGAGAGCCACGGCUAACUAUGUGCCAGCAGCCGCGGUAAUACAUAGGUGGCAAGCGUUAUCCCGGAUUUAUUGGGCGUACAGGGUGCGUAGGCGGUUCGAUAAGUUUGAGGUUUAAAUCCCGGGGCUCACCCCCGGUUUCGCCUUGAAACUGUCUUACUAAAUACAGGAGAGGUAGAUGGUAUUUCCAUGUGUAUCGGCGAAAUGCGUAGAU